This is a long non-coding RNA of Sycon ciliatum, 1119 nucleotides long. RefSeq lists it as uncharacterized. The transcript has 3 exons. The record is from RefSeq and is a predicted model, not a curated record. Lineage: Eukaryota; Metazoa; Porifera; Calcarea; Leucosolenida; Sycettidae.
UUCGAUACGCAUAACAACGAUCCCACUGGGGACAAACAAAAGUAGCGUCGUCUCCACCGACCCAGUUGUCAGUGGCAACAUAUAGGAAUCGUGUACAUUUCUUCGUUUCUUCUUUGCUGUUUUCAGUGAGUGUUUUGUUUUCUCUUUGUCCUUGAUCUCGACGAUGUUGUCGUGCUCAUUACCUUACUGAGACGUCUCUUGUGACUGUAGCCAGUGUCAUGGAGGAUUUUAUUGGCGUGACAAGGUAGAUCGCCGAGAUCGAGCGUGAAAAACGCUCUGCAUUAGUAGCUCCUGUAGAAUGUUUUCUGGGUUGGCGUAUCCAUGGUCAACAAAACCAAGGUGCAAGACAGCAUGAGAGAUCGUGUAAACGAUGUGAACUCCAAAAGAUAAUCUGGCCAAAUUUAUUGUAACUAGAGAGUGCAAUCGUGCACUGCUUGGGGCCCAUCCCAAUGUCAUCACAUGGCUGUGGUGACUAGUGUAUAUCUGGGAGAAUUUUUCCUCGACUGAUACGGAGUGCAGGUGGAUCGAUUAUGAGAAAUGCGAACAUGUGAAGUUCAAGGCUAGAUGCACUUCACAUUCGGCGUGCGAUCUCAGCGUCUGGGACCUGAUGAAGUCUUGGUUGGAUGAUUAUUCAAGCCUGAUACUACUCGACACACCAAUGUUCAUGUCAAUGUAAUAUUUUCAGAGCUGCACUAUUUACGUGUUGAUGCUUACUUCGGUGUUAGCGUGUUUCCCCCGGAUUGUUUCUAUCAUCAUGAUCGUGUGUUCUUGGGCUGAGCGAGCACAUGCACAAGUGUGCAGCUAUAACCCUGUGUAUCUUUGGUUACACUUUGUUCUGCAAUGCAUGUACCUUGUAACAUUAUGUAUGUGCUUGCACUGCUUUGUCUGGCCUGCGUAUUUCAGGACUAUUCAGUGCAUUAGACCCAGGUUUGUUUGGUUGCCGGAUGACCUCUUGGUGCGUCGCUCUGUAUUUGUAUUCAUCAAUUUUUGGGCUUGAGAAUUGAGCUGUUGUGUGGUUCCCAAUAUGAAAACAUCAUGCUGGUGCUCUGUGUUUCGAUUAUCGACUGUCGGAGCAGUCAUGCAUUUAUUAGCAGAACGGUCAAUACUGUAGUCUUUUCA